UACGGAGGGUGCAAACGUUGCUCGGAAUCAUUGGGCGUAAAGCGCACGUAGGCGGCCUAUUAAGUCGGGUGUGAAAUCCCUCGGCUCAACCGUGGAAGUGCAUCCGAAACUGCGAGGCUCGAGUAUGGAAGAGGGUCGCAGAAUUCCCGGUGUAGAGGUGAAAUUCGUAGAUAUCGGGAGGAAUACCAGUGGCGAAGGCGGCGACCUGGGCCAAUACUGACGCUGAGGUGCGAAAGCGUGGGGAGCAAACAGG
Molecule: ribosomal RNA, 253 nt
Filed under: uncultured bacterium
Lineage: Bacteria
Description: partial 16S ribosomal RNA
Rfam family: Bacterial small subunit ribosomal RNA
Source: RNAcentral